AUGGUGUGUCAGUGCGCCACUUUACAGAAGAGAGAGGAAGAGAAUCUUCCUGGGAUGAGGAAGGGGCGACUAAGCCCAAAAUUACAAAACCGUAGUAUGCUACUGGGACUGUAGAAGUGGCUCCGCAGGAGCUGACGGAUCAUAAAACACUGACCUCUGUUGGUGGAGCACACGGAGCUUAUUAUACACUGGCCGACGCGGGACCUGGCGCGGCUCCGGUGUGUCCCGGCAGCGCUCGCCCACCUGCGGCGGUCCCGGAGGCCCAGGU
Long non-coding RNA from Camelus dromedarius (Arabian camel), 268 nucleotides. RefSeq lists it as uncharacterized. The record is from RefSeq and is a predicted model, not a curated record. Lineage: Eukaryota; Metazoa; Chordata; Mammalia; Artiodactyla; Camelidae. The transcript is spliced from 3 exons.